This is a non-coding RNA of Marasmius tenuissimus, 85 nucleotides long. The record is from the annotation of a GenBank genome assembly. NCBI's taxonomy places the organism in Eukaryota, Fungi, Basidiomycota, Agaricomycetes, Agaricales, Marasmiaceae.
GGUCUAAUAGUGUAGCGGUUAUCACAGUGGAUUCUGACUUCGUGUUAAAUUUCCACUAACCCAGGUUCGAUUCCUGGUUAGACCU